CUUUGGUGGAUUGUGACACCCCCUCAGCUGCCCUCUCACAUGAAGCUCCUGUGGAUGUGGCUUGUGGGGUUGGGGAGUCCAUAGCUGGGCCAGUCAGUCCAGCUGCUGCCAGCAUGGAAGAUGCUUCUGGUGACUUUUUCCAGAGCCUCAUGGCACAAAAUUGCCAUGGAAGAGGCCGUGAGUUCAGCACAGCAUCUGAACAAGCCAUGGGUACCAGGCCUUCACAAGACAAGAGCAGAAAUAGCACAGCCAGGCUUGGAGCAGCAUGGACAGCUGGGAAGCCUGAGCUUGCUCCAGUCAAAGUGCAACAUUUCUGAAAUUAAAUGAAACCAUAGGCACAUAUAAAAAGUGCUAAAUAGAGAUACAGCUUUGCAAUCACAGACAAGGUGGCAAGUUCUAUCUCCAAUAAGAUGAUUCACAACAGAAAUUAAUACAGC
This is a long non-coding RNA of Passer domesticus (house sparrow), 437 nucleotides long. RefSeq lists it as uncharacterized. The record is from RefSeq and is a predicted model, not a curated record. Lineage: Eukaryota; Metazoa; Chordata; Aves; Passeriformes; Passeridae. The transcript has 3 exons.